Molecule: ribosomal RNA, 424 nt
Filed under: Acidobacteria bacterium UCL-117
Lineage: Bacteria; Pseudomonadati; Acidobacteriota
Description: bacterial SSU rRNA
Rfam family: Bacterial small subunit ribosomal RNA
Source: RNAcentral
AACGCUGGCGGCGUGCCUAACACAUGCAAGUCGCACGAGAAAGGGAUUUCGGUCCUGAGUAAAGUGGCGCACGGGUGAGUAACACGUGACUAAUCUACCCUCGAGUGGGGAAUAACCUAGGGAAACCUGGGCUAAUACCGCAUAACACUUACGAGUCAAAGCAGCAAUGCGCUUGGGGAGGAGGUCGCGGCAGAUUAGCUAGUUGGCGGGGUAAUGGCCCACCAAGGCGAUGAUCUGUAUCCGGCCUGAGAGGGCGCACGGACACACUGGAACUGAAACACGGUCCAGACUCCUACGGGAGGCAGCAGUGGGGAAUUUUGCGCAAUGGGGGAAACCCUGACGCAGCAACGCCGCGUGGAGGAUGAAGUCUCUUGGGACGUAAACUCCUUUCGAUAGGGAAGAUAAUGACGGUACCUAUAGAAGA